This 672-nucleotide long non-coding RNA is filed under the name Lonchura striata (white-rumped munia). RNAcentral's name for it is "domestica (Bengalese finch) lncRNA (ENSLSDG00000015087.1)". Lineage: Eukaryota; Metazoa; Chordata; Aves; Passeriformes; Estrildidae. The record is from RNAcentral.
CGCCAGCGCUGUCCUGCUCCUUGGGGCUGUCCCCACCCCAGGGUCUGCCCGGUCCCGGCAGCUCCCUGGAACAGCCUUAAAAUGUAGGGAAAUGUUAACGGGGGCGGGAUUGAAGCUGGUCAGAUUUUAUGCCUCAUUAUAAUAUAAAGGUUUUAGGUGCCAUUUUUGGGGUGACAUUUUUUGGCUGUAGUUCUUGUGGGUGUCAUUUUUAGGUGCCAUUUUUGGGUAUCAUUUUUUGGGUGUCAUUUUUCGGUGUCAUUUUUAGGUGUCAUUUUUUUAGUGUUAUUUUUUGGGUGUCAUUUUUAGGUGCCAUUUUUGGGGGGUGUCAUUUUUUAGCUGUAGGUUUUUUGGGUGUCAUUUUUAGGUGCCGUUUUUGGGGAUGUCAUUUUUUGGGUGUCUAUUUUAGGUGCAGUUUUUUGGGGUGUAGUAUUCUGGGUGUCAUUUUUAGGUGUCAUUUUUGGGGGUGUCCUUUUUUGUGUGUAGUUUCUUGGGUGUAAUUUUUAGGAGCCAUUUUUGGGUGUAGUUUUUUGGGUGUCAUUUUUUAGGUGUAGGUUUUUUUGGUGUCAUUUUUAGGCACCAUUUUUGGGGUGUCAUUUUUGUGUGUCGUUUUUUUGGGUAUAAUUUUUUUGGUGUAGUUUUUUGGGUGUCAUUUUUAGGUGCCAUUUUUGGGUG